CCUACGGGGAGGCAGCAGUGGGGAAUAUUGGACAAUGGGCGAAAGCCUGAUCCAGCCAUGCCGCGUGUGUGAAGAAGGCCUUCGGGUUGUAAAGCACUUUCAGUGGGGAAGAAAGCCUUGGGGCUAAUACCCUCGAGGAAGGACAUCACCCACAGAAGAAGCACCGGCUAACUCCGUGCCAGCAGCCGCGGUAAUACGGAGGGUGCGAGCGUUAAUCGGAAUUACUGGGCGUAAAGCGCGCGUAGGCGGUCUGAUAAGCCGGUUGUGAAAGCCCCGGGCUCAACCUGGGAACGGCAUCCGGAACUGUCAGGCUAGAGUGCAGGAGAGGAAGGUAGAAUUCCCGGUGUAGCGGUGAAAUGCGUAGAGAUCGGGAGGAAUACCAGUGGCGAAGGCGGUCUUCUGGACUGACACUGACGCUGAGGUGCGAAAGCGUGGGUAGCAAACAGGAUUAGAUACCCUAGUAGUC
RNAcentral lists this ribosomal RNA (466 nucleotides) under Vreelandella stevensii. Its description in RNAcentral is "partial 16S ribosomal RNA". It matches the Rfam family "Bacterial small subunit ribosomal RNA", at positions 338 to 795 of the family's 1533-position model. Lineage: Bacteria; Pseudomonadati; Pseudomonadota; Gammaproteobacteria; Oceanospirillales; Halomonadaceae. The record is from RNAcentral.